CCUACGGGGUGCAGCAGUGGGGAAUAUUGGACAAUGGGCGAAAGCCUGAUCCAGCCAUGCCGCGUGUGUGAAGAAGGCCUUCGGGUUGUAAAGCACUUUCAGUGGGGAAGAAAGCCUUGGGGCUAAUACCCUCGAGGAAGGACAUCACCCACAGAAGAAGCACCGGCUAACUCCGUGCCAGCAGCCGCGGUAAUACGGAGGGUGCGAGCGUUAAUCGGAAUUACUGGGCGUAAAGCGCGCGUAGGCGGUCUGAUAAGCCGGUUGUGAAAGCCCCGGGCUCAACCUGGGAACGGCAUCCGGAACUGUCAGGCUAGAGUGCAGGAGAGGAAGGUAGAAUUCCCGGUGUAGCGGUGAAAUGCGUAGAGAUCGGGAGGAAUACCAGUGGCGAAGGCGGCCUUCUGGACUGACACUGACGCUGAGGUGCGAAAGCGUGGGUAGCACACAGGAUUAGAUACCCAGUAGU
Molecule: ribosomal RNA, 463 nt
Filed under: Vreelandella stevensii
Lineage: Bacteria; Pseudomonadati; Pseudomonadota; Gammaproteobacteria; Oceanospirillales; Halomonadaceae
Description: partial 16S ribosomal RNA
Rfam family: Bacterial small subunit ribosomal RNA
Source: RNAcentral